UAGAGUUUGAUCCUGGCUCAGAUUGAACGCUAGCGAGAUGCCUUACACAUGCAAGUCGAACGGCAGCACGGACUUCGGUCUGGUGGCGAGUGGCGAACGGGUGAGUAAUGUAUCGGAACGUGCCCAGUAGCUGGGGAUAACUACGCGAAAGCGUAGCUAAUACCGCAUACGCCCUACGGGGGAAAGCAGGGGAUCGUAAGACCUUGCACUAUUGGAGCGGCCGAUAUCGGAUUAGCUAGUUGGUGGGGUAACGGCUCACCAAGGCGACGAUCCGUAGCUGGUUUGAGAGGACGACCAGCCACACUGGGACUGAGACACGGCCCAGACUCCUACGGGAGGCAGCAGUGGGGAAUUUUGGACAAUGGGGGAAACCCUGAUCCAGCCAUCCCGCGUGUGCGAUGAAGGCCUUCGGGUUGUAAAGCACUUUUGGCAGGAAAGAAACGUCAUGGGUUAAUACCCCGUGAAACUGACGGUACCUGCAGAAUAAGCACCGGCUAACUACGUGCCAGCAGCCGCGGA
RNAcentral lists this ribosomal RNA (519 nucleotides) under Achromobacter sp. alk2. RNAcentral's name for it is "bacterial SSU rRNA". It matches the Rfam family "Bacterial small subunit ribosomal RNA", at positions 1 to 521 of the family's 1533-position model. The record is from RNAcentral. Lineage: Bacteria; Pseudomonadati; Pseudomonadota; Betaproteobacteria; Burkholderiales; Alcaligenaceae.